This is a long non-coding RNA of Brassica napus (rape), 1300 nucleotides long. RefSeq lists it as uncharacterized. The record is from RefSeq and is a predicted model, not a curated record. The transcript has 5 exons. NCBI's taxonomy places the organism in Eukaryota, Viridiplantae, Streptophyta, Magnoliopsida, Brassicales, Brassicaceae.
UCGAGCUCUGGCGCUGCUACACGUGUCCAGGUAAGUAAAGUUUUGCGUUUCAUUUAAUCAACGCGUAAUAGGCUUAGAUGGUUUGUUGUGGGAAUGGGCUUUAGACUUGGUAAGUUUUCCGGCCCAAUGAGAAGGAGUCCGUCCCUCUAACCCUAGCUGCAGUGAAGAAACGAAGUUCGUCUUCUUCUACGUGCGAUGGCCAGACUGUGACUUUUGAUGUUCUCUCACGGCCUGAAACGGUUUGAUUAAUGGCUUUGUGUUUAAUCCCAUUGAUUCACACCUCCACGAUGUGUCUUCAAAGCGUUGUUUGAAUCUGGGAGUCGGUGUGGUUGUGGUAUAAAUAUAUCUCUGGCUUUUGGAAGGUCUGUAUGCGAAGAAGAGGUGAGCUCACCAAUCUUGGACAAGAAGACAAUGAAGAAAAAGCGUUUCCACCGCCCCACACCUCAUAAGCUCCAAUGAGCAUAUCAGCAUCCAGAUGAGCAACUUAGCAUAUAAUUGGGUUUAGCCCCAAGACAAAUCAAGAUUUGGUUUCAGAACCAAAGAACACAGACGAAGGCACAACUCAAGAGAGCUGAUAAUUGUGCACUCAAGGAAGGGAAUUAUAGGAUUCGUUAUGAAAACGAUGCCAUUAGAGAAGCUCUCAAAUACGCCACCAAAAUUCUUACUUUGAUGAACAGACGCUUUGAAUCGAAAAUGCUUAGAGAAGAGUGAUGUGAACAUGAUUUUCAAAUUUAGUUGGAUAAUAGCCAUCACAGCAGAGAUCAAGAUGGGACGCAAGUUAAGAAAGACAACAACGGAUGCGGUGGCGGAAAUUCUUGUGGUGCCGUGUUCACGCGGUGGUUUGUGGCGAGGUGAGGAGACAAGAGGGAUGAGAAGGGAGAUUGAGCCUGUUGUCUAGAAGUAGAUUACUGCUAUCCGCACUAUCAGAAGUUCUCUGACAAUGUAAACCAGUACUGAUUUUGACUUUUCAAGGGUAUCUACAGGAGCAUCACUUCCUCUUUCUACUUGCUCUGCUAGCCAUCCUUCAAUCCCUUGAAGCACAUAAACAUCAACUCCAAGAGUGAAGAUAGCUUUUACAUUCUUUUGAAAAUAAGGUAGAAAGAUGAUGAUCAAAUUUUUAGUAUGCUAUUAGAAGUUAUAUUAUUAUUUUUUUUCUUUCUGAUUUUAGUUUGAUACAUGGCUUAUUAGAUUCUGGUUGUUAUAUAAUCUUUAUAAGUUCGUCUCUUACAUGGUUUAAAUUGUGGUAGAAGAAAGGAAGAACAAUUAUAUUUAAACAAGACGAAGUUAGUUAUCUUCCUCA